Ruditapes philippinarum (Manila clam) is the source of this 127-nucleotide small nucleolar RNA. The record is from RefSeq and is a predicted model, not a curated record. NCBI's taxonomy places the organism in Eukaryota, Metazoa, Mollusca, Bivalvia, Venerida, Veneridae.
GUAGGCAUUUAUCGAAGCCAGCAAUAUAUAUUUUAUUUCUGGUCAAACUAGUGCCAAAAGAAAAUUCUGCUGACGGUCGCAGCCUGUACCAUUUACAGAAGUUGCAUUACCAACAGUAGAUACAAAU